Molecule: non-coding RNA, 937 nt
Organism: Theobroma cacao (cacao)
Lineage: Eukaryota; Viridiplantae; Streptophyta; Magnoliopsida; Malvales; Malvaceae
Source: RefSeq, a predicted model, not a curated record
AGGUUUCAAUCGGCAUUCGGGGUGAAGAAUGUCUGUCGAGGCUUCGCGGCUGUUGUCACGGGCUCGAUGGAAGUUCCGGGUUGUGACAUUAUUGGACUACUAAUGAUGAUGAGUCUUAUAAGAAAAGUCCAACUCAACAUCAAACAACUGCCUGUUCAUAAGUGAGACAUACACAUUCAAAACACAAGUUAAAUGAAAAAAAACAAACAAGCACUCAUCUUUUUCAUUGAUAUCGUUUAUCAGCUUACAUAAAGUACUUAGCUUUUCCAUAUGUUCAAACAACUAUGAGACUUUGAAGGCUGUAUUGUAUGAAGAGUUAACAUUGGACAUACAAGAAGAGGAAUUGCUCUAUUGAAGCACAAAUGCUGUGCUUAUCUUCGCUAGAGUGAUGAUCAAAAGUUACAUGUGAUCACUAUAUGUCCCCUCUUAUUCAGCAACAAGAAUGUGCAUCAACCCUGACAUUCCAAAAGUCAAUGAAGUGAAGGCAAGCAAAUCCACCAAAAGUGCAAUAGCAACAAGGAAAAGAAGGAAGCUCUUUUGAAUAAGGACUAGCUAAUUUUUACCAUACCUAGAGCAUAUUUUUUGUAGCUCCAUUGUAUAGUUCUGACUAUGGUAAAAAUGAAUAGACAAUCAAACAGUUAUUAUGUUUUGUAUAGCAACACUUACUAACGUUUUGUCCACAUCUUUUGAACAAUCUCAUCUGCAUAGCAAAUUAUGUAUGUGCCAAAUUAUAUAAAACAUCUUUUUGCAGGUUUUUGUUAGCUACAACAUCUACUUGAGGGGUCCUGUAAAGCACUUUUAAAAUUCAUUUCAUGUUUAUAUAUAUGAACAAUCAUUUGUAACUUUCUAUUCGAAUAUCUUGUGAAUGUUGACUAACAAUAGAUACUUUGACACUUUCCUACUUAUCUUAUUUGUCACGACCCGGAACUCCCAUCGG